Molecule: ribosomal RNA, 1016 nt
Filed under: epibiont metagenome
Description: bacterial SSU rRNA
Rfam family: Bacterial small subunit ribosomal RNA
Source: RNAcentral
GCACCUUUGUGCGAGCCCCCGCGUGGGAGGGAAGACCCCUUUGGGGGGGUACCCCUUUUUUCUAGGGAGAAGUUCCCGGGUCCUUGUGUUUGAUUAGGCCCGGGGUUACUUCCGGGUGCCCAGCAACCCCCCCGGUUAAUUCCGAAGGGGGGCGCUAAGCGGUUUCCUUCGGGAAUUCUCCCCUUGGGGGGCGGUUAAGGCCGCAUUGUUAGCCGGGUUUAUUAGGUUGAGGUUAAAGCCCCCAGGUUUACCUUGUUGGCCAGGUUCUAACCUUGAUUUACUUAGAGUCUUGGGAAAGGAAAGAUGGAUUUAGUAGUGUAGGGGUAAAAUCCGUAGAGGAUUCUAGGAAAUUCCGAAAGCGAAGGCGAUCUUCUGGACAGUCCUGCGCUGAGAUGCGAAAGCCGUGGGGAGCAAACAGGAUUAGAUCCCUGGUAGUCCACGCCCUAACGAUGAAUGUUAGUCGUUUGGAGUGCUAGCCACUUCAGUGAUUGCAGCUAACGCAUUAACAUUCCGCCUGGGGAGUCGGCCGCAAGGUUAAACUCAAAGGAAUAGACGGGGGACCCGCACAAGUGGUGGAGCAUGUGGUUUAAUUCGAAGAUACGCGAAGAACCUUACCUGGUCUUGACAUAUCCAGAACCUGCCAGAGAUGGUGGGGUGCCUUUGGGAGCUGGUAUACAGGUGCUGCACGGCUGUCGUCAGCUCGUGUCGUGAGAUGUUGGGUUAAGUCCCGCAACGAGCGCAACCCUCGUGACUAGUUACUAACAGCAUAGGCUGAGGACUCUAGUCAGACUGCCUUCGUAAGGAGGAGGAAGGUGGGGACGACGUCAAGUCAUCAUGGCCCUUACGGCCAGGGCGACACACGUGCUACAAUGGGGAGGACAAUGAGAAGCGAAAUCGCGAGAUGGAGCAAAUCUAUAAACCUUCUCUCAGUUCGGAUUGUAGUCUGCAACUCGACUACAUGAAGCUGGAAUCACUAGUAAUCGUGAAUCAUUAAGCCGGUGAAUACGUUCCCAAGU